This 496-nucleotide ribosomal RNA is filed under the name uncultured bacterium. RNAcentral's name for it is "partial 16S ribosomal RNA". It matches the Rfam family "Bacterial small subunit ribosomal RNA", at positions 29 to 507 of the family's 1533-position model. The record is from RNAcentral.
AUGCACGCUGGCGGCGUGCCUCAUACCUGCAAGUCGAGCGAACAGACGAGGAGCUUGCUCCUCUGACGUUAGCGGCGGACGGGUGAGUAACACGUGGAUAACCUACCUAUAAGACUGGGAUAACUUCGGGAAACCGGAGCUAAUACCGGAUAAUAUAUUGAACCGCAUGGUUCAAUAGUGAAAGACGGUUUUGCUGUCACUUAUAGAUGGAUCCGCGCCGCAUUAGCUAGUUGGUAAGGUAACGGCUUACCAAGGCGACGAUGCGUAGCCGACCUGAGAGGGUGAUCGGCCACACUGGAACUGAGACACGGUCCAGACUCCUACGGGAGGCAGCAGUAGGGAAUCUUCCGCAAUGGGCGAAAGCCUGACGGAGCAACGCCGCGUGAGUGAUGAAGGUCUUCGGAUCGUAAAACUCUGUUAUUAGGGAAGAACAAAUGUGUAAGUAACUAUGCACGUCUUGACGGUACCUAAUCAGAAAGCCACGGCUAACUACGUG